Molecule: long non-coding RNA, 428 nt
Filed under: Homo sapiens (human)
Lineage: Eukaryota; Metazoa; Chordata; Mammalia; Primates; Hominidae
Description: novel transcript, sense intronic to CPNE4
Source: RNAcentral
AGAUGAAUUGAAAGUCACAUUGUAAAGGAUGUAGAACACAGGAAAAGGUCCCCAGCUUCUAUGAGGACCCUGCCUGCUGGAAGAAGCUGGAGUUCUGUUAGCAAGGAAGAAUGGCACUGAAGAUGGUGCAGCCAAGCCUUGUGAUGCUGCCACCUAUAACAGCCCAACUCCUGCUUUGAGGAAUGAUAAAACUGUUAAACCUCCUGGGACAUCUCCCUCCACGAACUUCACUGUAGCCUCACUCCGUUCAUUGCCUGUUCAUUUGCGAAUGGAUACUGAGUGCUGUGAUGGCUCAGAAAAGAGCCAUAACUCUCUUAAAAUUAAUUGAACUCAGUGUAAAUGUAUGGGCAAAAAUGACUGUAUCUGGAAAUGUGUGUGUGCUCAAACAAACAAACAAAAAAAAUUAAAAACCCAGCUCCAACCUCUAA